CUACGGGACGCUCCAGUGGGGAAUCUUAGACAAUGGGCGCAAGCCUGAUCUAGCCAUGCCGCGUGAGUGACGAAGGCCUUAGGGUCGUAAAGCUCUUUCGCUGGGGAAGAUAAUGACGGUACCCAGUAAAGAAACCCCGGCUAACUCCGUGCCAGCAGCCGCGGUAAUACGGAGGGGGUUAGCGUUGUUCGGAAUUACUGGGCGUAAAGCGCGCGUAGGCGGAUCAGAAAGUUGGGGGUGAAAUCCCGGGGCUCAACCCCGGAACUGCCUUCAAAACUCCUGGUCUUGAGUUCGAGAGAGGUGAGUGGAAUUCCGAGUGUAGAGGUGAAAUUCGUAGAUAUUCGGAGGAACACCAGUGGCGAAGGCGGCUCACUGGCUCGAUACUGACGCUGAGGUGCGAAAGCGUGGGGAGCAAACAGGAUUAGAUACCCGCGUAGUC
Molecule: ribosomal RNA, 439 nt
Filed under: uncultured bacterium
Lineage: Bacteria
Description: partial 16S ribosomal RNA
Rfam family: Bacterial small subunit ribosomal RNA
Source: RNAcentral